This is a non-coding RNA of Phrynosoma platyrhinos (Desert horned lizard), 71 nucleotides long. The record is from the annotation of a GenBank genome assembly. Lineage: Eukaryota; Metazoa; Chordata; Lepidosauria; Squamata; Phrynosomatidae.
GCCAACAUGGUGUAGUGGUCUGAGCAUUGGACUAAGACUCUGGAGGCCAGGGUUUGAAUCCCAGCUUGGCC